RNAcentral lists this ribosomal RNA (254 nucleotides) under uncultured bacterium. RNAcentral describes it as "partial 16S ribosomal RNA". It matches the Rfam family "Bacterial small subunit ribosomal RNA", at positions 524 to 776 of the family's 1533-position model. The record is from RNAcentral.
UACGGGGGGGGCAAGCGUUGUUCGGAAUUACUGGGCGUAAAGGGCUCGUAGGUGGCCAACUAAGUCAGACGUGAAAUCCCCAGGCUCAACUUGGGAACUGCGUCUGAUACUGGAUGGCUUGAAUUCGGGAGAGGGAUGCAGAAUUCCAGGUGUAGCGGUGAAAUGCGUAGAUAUCUGGAGGAAUACCGGUGGCGAAGGCGGCAUCCUGGACCAUUUACUGACGCUGAGGCGCGAAAGCUAGGGGAGCAAACGGG